UUAGGAUAUGGCGAUAUGGUUCCGUCAACGGUAAUGGGGAAGAUUGUGGGAGGCAUUUGUUCUCUUUCUGGUGUUCUCGUCAUAGCCCUACCUGUACCUGUAGGUCGAUUUUUAU
Non-coding RNA from Heterorhabditis bacteriophora, 115 nucleotides. NCBI's taxonomy places the organism in Eukaryota, Metazoa, Nematoda, Chromadorea, Rhabditida, Heterorhabditidae. The record is from Rfam.